Molecule: ribosomal RNA, 392 nt
Filed under: Oedicerotidae sp. BOLD:ADK9524
Lineage: Eukaryota; Metazoa; Arthropoda; Malacostraca; Amphipoda; Oedicerotidae
Description: partial 16S ribosomal RNA
Source: RNAcentral
GUAUGACGGUAUUACCUAAAUAUUUUUUUUUAGUUAAAAAUAUUAAAUUUUUAAUUAAAGUUAGAAUACUUUAAUAAACCAAAGGGACGAUAAGACCCUAAAAUUUUUAUCUUGUUUUAUUUGGCGUAGUACGGGUCACUGGCGUGAUAUUUUGAGAUUUGGCUGGGGUAGUCGUUUCACGAAAACUAAGGUUUUUGUUAACAUUGUAGAUGGUUUAAAGGUCCUUUUUAUAAGGAUAAGUAGGAUCAAUUACUUUAGGGGUAACAGCGCAAUUUUUUCGGAGAGACCUUAUCUAUGGGAGAGACUACGACCUCGAUGUUGAAUUAUAAAUUUGCUGCGGGGCAGAAAAUGCAGUGUAGGGUUUGUUCAACCUUUAAAAUUUUACAUGAUUU